GCCAGUGUGGCACAGUGGUUUGAGCUAUACCUAGCUGGAUUAUAACUCUGGAGACCAGGGUUUGAAUCCCUGCUCAGCCA
Non-coding RNA from Phrynosoma platyrhinos (Desert horned lizard), 80 nucleotides. The record is from the annotation of a GenBank genome assembly. Lineage: Eukaryota; Metazoa; Chordata; Lepidosauria; Squamata; Phrynosomatidae.